AUGGCAACCUUCAAGAUGAAUCUUGGUCCCUUCUUUUUGGUGGCUCUCAUGGUACUGGCUACUAUUGUGUCCCCAUGCCAUGCGAACAAUGAGAUACAUGCAGAUGCAAUACCACUACCUGAAAGUUGCUAUCCAAUGAAGUUUCCUAAAUGCACUAACAAGGCGUGCUACAAGUAUUGCAUAAACCCUGGAGGCUACUGCAAAGAUGUUGAUUAUUGUUGUUGCCCUAUGGAAUAA
RNAcentral lists this ribosomal RNA (237 nucleotides) under Triticum aestivum (bread wheat). RNAcentral's name for it is "partial small subunit ribosomal RNA". Lineage: Eukaryota; Viridiplantae; Streptophyta; Magnoliopsida; Poales; Poaceae. The record is from RNAcentral.